This is a long non-coding RNA of Hordeum vulgare subsp. vulgare (domesticated barley), 812 nucleotides long. RefSeq lists it as uncharacterized. The record is from RefSeq and is a predicted model, not a curated record. The transcript has 4 exons. NCBI's taxonomy places the organism in Eukaryota, Viridiplantae, Streptophyta, Magnoliopsida, Poales, Poaceae.
ACUAGCUCUCUUUUUGUCCCGCCACCAGCCUCCACCUUGCCCACCAGACCUACGCCCCUCCACGCCCACCAGAUCGAUGCCCCUCCGCGCUCCAUGGCCAUCGUUCCUCAUCCUCUUCCGUUCGCCUCGGCUGGUCCCGACGCCGGCAAGGAGGGCCGCAAUGUUAGCGGAUCUGGCAAUGUUGCCACGGUCGCUUCUCCUGUUCGAUGCAGGAGGCAUUGGCAUCGGAUCUUGCCCCUCCUUGCUUGUCAGUGCUCGUCGCUGGCGUCCCGCUUUAGAGUCGAAAUCUCUUGUCUUGUCCCCACCGCGCCCAUGACACACAUCAUCCUCCCCGCCUCCGCCAUGAUGACCACCAACUGUGUCGCUCCCGUCGCCGCAUUGAAGAGGGGCGCCUUCACCGUCUUCCUCGUUGUUCUAUCCAUCAUCCAGGCCCUCAGGAACCUGGGGUAGCCGUCGUACAUAGAGAGAGUGGAUUGGAGCAAUUUGCAGGACCAUGCAGAUAGUAACUACAAGCUCGUCCCUUAAUGAUCUAGCCUGCACUGUCCAGGUUGUAUGCUUCUGUUGACAUUUCUGCCAGGAUGUUCUACAAUAGGGCUACUCGGAAGUAGAGGGAAUAAGAUGCUUCGUGUCUCAUUUUAAUUUAAAUCCAUGUGAUAGAUCAAGUUUUGCGUGAACUUUUUGGCCAUGACUUGUUGUUCUUAGUUGUGUAGAGGAGUCGACAGAUGAUGUAUAUUAUAUUUUUUGUGAUACAUGGUGCAGAAAUGAAGAUGUAUUUCAUUUGUAAAUAUUAGAUUUUAGCUUGCAUUUCAUCA